Molecule: ribosomal RNA, 247 nt
Filed under: uncultured bacterium
Lineage: Bacteria
Description: partial 16S ribosomal RNA
Rfam family: Bacterial small subunit ribosomal RNA
Source: RNAcentral
AUACGGAGGGCGCAAGCGUUAAUCGGAAUCACUGGGCGUAAAGCGCACGUAGGUGGUUCGGUAAGUUGGAUGUGAAAUCCCCGGGCUCAACCUGGGAAUGGCAUCCAAGACUGCCAAGCUAGAGUCUGGUAGAGGGUGGUGGAAUUCCAGGUGUAGCGGUGAAAUGCGUAGAUAUCUGGAGGAACAUCAGUGGCGAAGGCGGCCACCUGGACCGAGACUGACACUGAGGUGCGAAAGCGUGGGUAGC